RNAcentral lists this ribosomal RNA (257 nucleotides) under uncultured fungus. Its description in RNAcentral is "partial small subunit ribosomal RNA". It matches the Rfam family "Eukaryotic small subunit ribosomal RNA", at positions 1315 to 1591 of the family's 1831-position model. The record is from RNAcentral. Lineage: Eukaryota; Fungi.
CUGCUUAAUUGCGAUAACGAACGAGGCCUUAACCUCUGAANAGUUUUACCAACCAUCAUUUGGUAGCCAAAACUUCUUAGAGGGACUGUCGGCAUCAAGCCGACGGAAGUUUGAGGCAAUAACAGGUCUGUUAUGCCCUUAGAUGUCCUGGGCCGCACGCGCGCUACACUGAUGAAGUCAACGAGUUUAUAACCUUGGCCGGAAGGUCUGGGUAAUCUUUUGAAACUUCAUCGUGCUGGGGAUAGGGCAUUGCAAUG